Molecule: small nucleolar RNA, 221 nt
Organism: Lotus japonicus
Lineage: Eukaryota; Viridiplantae; Streptophyta; Magnoliopsida; Fabales; Fabaceae
Product: small nucleolar RNA U3
Exons: 1
Source: RefSeq, a predicted model, not a curated record
ACGACCUUACUUGAACAGGAUCUGUUCUAUAGGCUCGUACAACUGUAUCCUUGAGUUCUAAGGAGACAGGAACCAAAGUCUGGUUGAUGAACCAUGACCGUGUGAUCAGAGCGUGAUUAACAGUCCACUGGUUAGCCUUUGGGUUCACCAAUUGGAGGGUAGAGGAUCGUUCUCAGCUAGUAUCCACUGGCUGGGGUGGUCACACGGUUGUCUGACAAACC